GUUUCUGGAGCAAAACGAGAGUACAUGACGUUGAUUUGUUGCACACAGGUUGUUCACAAUCUAUACAUACAUAAGAUGUUGUAGUUCCACAAACAGUGCAAGACAUAAUUUAUACUCGAUUUUGUCAAGAAACUAUAGUAAAUCAUGCAUAUCUAUUUCGUUUUGAUGAGUACCCGGUAUGACGUCACGACGGUGCUAAAAGGCGUUCUCGUCCCAGUACUUUCAUGCUCACGGACAAACGCUCAAAAUAGGAAAAAUCGCCCAACUUUGAGCCCCUGAAAGUCAAUGAAG
Molecule: non-coding RNA, 291 nt
Organism: Paramuricea clavata
Lineage: Eukaryota; Metazoa; Cnidaria; Anthozoa; Malacalcyonacea; Plexauridae
Source: the annotation of a GenBank genome assembly